Molecule: long non-coding RNA, 2161 nt
Organism: Daphnia carinata
Lineage: Eukaryota; Metazoa; Arthropoda; Branchiopoda; Diplostraca; Daphniidae
Exons: 11
Source: RefSeq, a predicted model, not a curated record
UGAUGAGAUGGUAGCAAGAGGUUUCCGACAUUUUGGGCCCAUGAUGUCGAAAAGUUCGUUCUUGAAGAAAGAAGAACGAAACUAUCAUGGAGGUUUUACAACCAACUAGCUUAAUAUGGACCGUGUUUCAUACCUGCAAAUCGACCGUAUGUUCUGCAGUUGUACCACGUUGCAUCCAGGCAUUUUUAAGGAAAAAUCUAUUGCCCCGCAGAAUCCGGGGGGUAAUAGCAUUUUGUCUAUUGCCCCCCCGGAAUCUGUGGGGCAAUAGGCGUCACCCAUGUUUAAUGUAAAGCUGUUUGCUUUGGGUGAAAUUUAUGCAGUAUAAAGUUCUGGAUGAUAAAAUUGCAUUUGGGAUGUGACCCAAACUACUGGAUCUCUGUCUCGCAAUGACAUCUGGCAAAGGUUUCCUGUUGCUGAUGUGCUAGCCAUGAUACUGACAGAUCUUUGUAAUAUUUUUAGAAGAAGCACGAAGUGGAGCUUUUUGGAGGUAGCUUAGACCACUUGCGUUUAAACCCAUGAUGUUCUGUAUAACCCCUGGUUACACAGAACCCGACAAAGAUAUCAAAGCUGUCUUCAACAUGAAAGGACAUGGUAGAAGAAUUACCAACUGUUGGGCGGUCAGCUGUAGGUGUUUGUUACGAAAAAGUACGAAAAUCAAACAAUGAUGGUCGCUAUGGUGGUUGUCCCGAAAACUCAGCCGAAUGCGAAGCUCGUUAAGAAGCAGCGUACUACUUCAUGAGAACCACGAAUUAUGCACACCGAGGCCAAACAGUAAGGGCCUCUAGGGUAAUUAUCUAGACAGAAUGUCGAUCAACUCGUCGUUACUGUCUGAUAUUAACACAUCUGCGAGCAAGGACCUUUACGGGCUAUGGGAUCCUCAAAACGUAUGACAACGAGCCCAUAUUCAAGUUGUAGCUCGAAAGUUCUACAACUAAUGUUUUCCCUGAACAUCAAUGCAGCAUGGAAUGCUUUACAGAUGCCUAAUGCGAGAUGUGGAAAAUGCUUGACAGAAUGUGUAGGCUAUUUUGAUUAGACACAUUGGUACCUAAGGUUUCUUGUGUUGGGUACAUCAAAGCAGAAAUAAUUGUACUACAAAAAAUGUGCAAGGCAUGCUGGUCUGUUCUUCACAAUUAUGAGAGCUUUCAACUCCAUCUAUCUAAAACCUCCUGGCCUUUGGUCUUAUUAUUUGACCAGCUAUUGCAAAUCAAGUCGAGGUUAGUUUCAAAACGAAGAGGAAAGAAUACUAUAGAAUUUGUGGUGUUUGCAUCAGCAAUGGACCCUUCUUUUAUUUCAGAAUUGCAAGGCUUUUGCGGUCCAAUCUGAGUGAAAACUGCUGUGUAACUUAUUACAUGAGGAACUGGCGAUUUUUGGAGAUGGUUACACCUGAUUAAAUUCUUCUGAAAGAGAAGCAUUUGCCUAUGGAUAAUGGUAACCCCAAGUGCGUCAAAACUUCGUUCCUAAAAAGAAGUUUCUAGUACCUGGCCAAGGAAACAGUUUUUAGCCUUAUUAUAUGACAAACCUUCCGAAGUCGCACUAAGUUGAAUUUAUUAAUGAAGGGGAAAGAAAACUUCAAAAAAAAUUGGAGCUUUGCAUUGUCGAAGAAUUUCUAUUGGGUCGGAUUUCAAAAGUGCUAGCCUUGGGCGUUAUUAAAUGUUCAGUCGUCUAUGGUUCUUCAAUAAUUUGUUCCACGUGCUAUUGCGUGACUAUUGUUAGAAUUUCGCCAUCCAAGUUAUGAGGAAACUCGUGUAGCUUCUCAAUUCAUGAUGAACAAAGGAUUCGCGAUCGCCAUUGGAGAUGUUGCAUUUGAAGAAGCAGAUGAGGCAGGCAAUAGUUAUCUGUUGCUGUACAGUGCGCUCGCGGCCUCUCCGGUGUUAGCAGUGCAAUUGGCACAUGAAACGAUGUUUCAACGAAUACGAAUGCAGUCGUCUUUCGGUUCAGCGUUGGAUAAGGAAAUAUGCAACGGUUAUGAUGUGUCCGGCAGUAUGUUCCAUUACGAUCGCCGUAACGGAACACGUUUUACGUAAUUUCGUUUUCUAUGUCCGGACAUUGGAAACAUUUUAGGUGAUAUUCUUUGUUUGUUGCUCGUGCUGCCACAUGAAACCUGUCGUUGGCUUAUUUUGAGAAAAUGUGCAUGUCCUAUAUCGUUCUUUGUACCAUAUUA